GCUCAGAGUGAACGCUGGCGGUAGGCCUAACACAUGCAAGUCGAACGGCAGCACAGAGGAGCUUGCUCCUUGGGUGGCGAGUGGCGGACGGGUGAGGAAUACAUCGGAAUCUACUUUUUCGUGGGGGAUAACGUAGGGAAACUUACGCUAAUACCGCAUACGACCUACGGGUGAAAGCAGGGGACCUUCGGGCCUUGCGCGAUUGAAUGAGCCGAUGUCGGAUUAGCUAGUUGGCGGGGUAAAGGCCCACCAAGGCGACGAUCCGUAGCUGGUCUGAGAGGAUGAUCAGCCACACUGGAACUGAGACACGGUCCAGACUCCUACGGGAGGCAGCAGUGGGGAAUAUUGGACAAUGGGCGCAAGCCUGAUCCAGCCAUACCGCGUGGGUGAAGAAGGCCUUCGGGUUGUAAAGCCCUUUUGUUGGGAAAGAAAUCCAGCCGGCUAAUACCUGGUUGGGAUGACGGUACCCAAAGAAUAAGCACCGGCUAACUUCGUGCCAGCAGCCGCGGUAAUACGAAGGGUGCAAGCGUUACUCGGAAUUACUGGGCGUAAAGCGUGCGUAGGUGGUUGUUUAAGUCUGUUGUGAAAGCCCUGGGCUCAACCUGGGAACUGCAGUGGAAACUGGACAACUAGAGUGUGGUAGAGGGUAGCGGAAUUCCCGGUGUAGCAGUGAAAUGCGUAGAGAUCGGGAGGAACAUCCAUGGCGAAGGCAGCUACCNGGA
RNAcentral lists this ribosomal RNA (722 nucleotides) under Stenotrophomonas chelatiphaga. RNAcentral describes it as "bacterial SSU rRNA". It matches the Rfam family "Bacterial small subunit ribosomal RNA", at positions 22 to 733 of the family's 1533-position model. Lineage: Bacteria; Pseudomonadati; Pseudomonadota; Gammaproteobacteria; Lysobacterales; Lysobacteraceae. The record is from RNAcentral.